GGGGAAUUUUCCGCAAUGGGCGAAAGCCUGACAGAGCAAUACCGCGUGAGGGAAGAAGGCUUACUGAGUUGUAAACCUCGGUGCCUUAAGGAAGAAGAUCUGACGGUACUUAAGGUGGAAAGCAUCGGCUAACCCCGUGCCAGCAGCCGCGGUAAGACGGGGGAUGCAAGUGUUAUCCGGAAUCACUGGGCGUAAAGCGUCUGCAGGUGGUUUCCUAAGUCCACUGUUAAACCUUGAGGCUCAACCUCAAAUCUGCAGUGGAAACUAGGGAACUUGAGGAUAGUAGGGGUAGAGGGAAUUUCCAGUGGAGCGGUGAAAUGCGUAGAUAUUGGAAAGAACACCGAUGGCGAAGGCACUUUACUGGGCUAUGACUGACACUCAGAGACGAAAGCUAGGGGAGCAAAAGGGAUUAGAUACCCCUGUAGUC
RNAcentral lists this ribosomal RNA (427 nucleotides) under uncultured bacterium. Its description in RNAcentral is "bacterial SSU rRNA". It matches the Rfam family "Bacterial small subunit ribosomal RNA", at positions 356 to 795 of the family's 1533-position model. The record is from RNAcentral.